RNAcentral lists this ribosomal RNA (3446 nucleotides) under Plasmodium falciparum 365.1. RNAcentral's name for it is "eukaryotic LSU rRNA". The stretch from base 366 to 3446 matches the Rfam family "Eukaryotic large subunit ribosomal RNA", at positions 1 to 2754 of the family's 3401-position model. Lineage: Eukaryota; Apicomplexa; Aconoidasida; Haemosporida; Plasmodiidae. The record is from RNAcentral.
AUAAUUAGCACAGUCUUAACGAUGGAUGUCUUGGUUCCUACAGCGAUGAAGGCCGCAGCAAAAUGCGAUACGCAAUGAAAAUUGCAGUGACUGUGAAUCAUCAGAAUGCUGAAUGUAAACUACACCAAUUCCCUUCGGGGAAUAGUGGUACUCCUACAGAAAAUAAAAUAAUACUUUGCUCUCUAGGUUUCUUUUAAAUAUAAAAUAUGUUUUCAUAUUAUAUGUAUAAAAGAAAAGAGAAAUAGGAAUUUAUUCCAAACUAAAAAUUAAUUUUUAGUUAAGGUUUCUCGCUGAAUAAAAUUUAUUUUUCAUUCAUUUUCUAGAGUAACAAAAAAAGAAUUCUUUAUUCUUUUUAACAAAGUGUUUGAUUUGAUGUUAGGAGGGCAAAUCCGCCGAAUUUAAGCAUAUAAUUAAGCGGAAGAAAAGAAAAUAACUAUGAUUCCUUUAGUAACGGCGAGUGAACAAGGACCAGCUCAAACGGUUAAUCCUUCGUUUGGUGCAAAGCCUUUCGACGGAAAUUGUCGUUGAAUUAUUCCAUGAAUGCCUUUAAUUUGAGCAAAGUGAGCAGGAAUGCUUCCCCAUAGAGGGUGAAAGGCCCAUAGUUCGUUUUAAUUUAUUCAUUGGAAUUUUUCAUGCCGAGUCGUGUUCUUUGAGAUUGGAGCACUAAUACGUGUGAUACAUUUCACAUAAAGCUAAAUAUGUGUAGGAGACCGAUAGCAAACAAGUACCGUGAGGGAAAGAUGAAAUAGUACUCAGGAAUGAGCAAUUAAAUAGUACCUGAAAUCGUUAAGAUGGAACGGAUUAAGAGAGAAAACAAGUAAAGAGGGGAAUUUUUUAAUUUUUUUUGUUUUUAAUUCUCUUCUUUAUUAAAAGAAACAUCAGUGAUUAAUUUAAUUUCAAUAAAGCAAUCCCCUGAAAUUCAAAAUUUCUUUUAAUUUUGUUUUCACUUUCUCCCCGCACUAAUGUGGGGAAAACUGGCUUUAUUUCUUCAAUUAUUUUUUUUGCUGAGGAAUUUUAAAAUUAUUUGAAUUUUUCUUCUUAUAAUUUAAGUUGUUUCUAUAUAGUACUUUCUUAACCCACUCGUCUUGAAACACGGACCAAGGAGUCUAGCAAAUGUGCAAGUGUAUAUGAUUCUUUAAACAUUUCUCUUUUUAAUAUACGCAUAAUUAAUGUAAUAUGUUUCUUUAUUGUAGAUUUGUGGUGUUUAAUUUUUAUUAAAUCCCCACUUUGCAUACAAUACCGGUAAGCAAUUAUGCUUUAUUGAGUACGAGCAUAUUUGGUAGGACCCGAGAGGCUUUGAACUAAGCGUGAUGAGAUUGAAGUCAGACGAAAGUCUGAUGGAGGAUCGAGUUGAUACUGACGUGCAAAUCGUUCAUUUCAAUCACGUUUAGGGGCGAAAGACUAAUCGAAAAGCCUAUUAGCUGGUUAUUUUCGAAAGAUCUCUCAGGAUCGCUGGAGUUGAUUAAUAUAAUUUUACCAGGUAGAGAUAAUGAUUAGAGGAAUCAGGGAAAUCGUUUUCCUUGACCUAUUCUCAAACUCCCAAUAGGUAAAAAGGGCGAAAUAACUCAACUUGUAUUUCACUCAUAUUAAAUAAAAUAACUCCAAGUGGGCCAUUUUUGGUAAGCAGAACUGGCGAUGAGGGAUGCUCCUAACGCUUGGAUAAGGUGCCUAAAUAUUCGCUCAUGAGAUCCCAUAAAAGGUGUUGGUUCAUAAUGACAGUAGGACGGUGGUCAUGGAAGUCGAAAUCCGCUAAGGAGUGUGUAACAACUCACCUACCGAAUGAACUAGCCCUGAAAAUGGAUGGCGCUAAAGCGAAUUACCGAUACCAAGCCAUAAAAAGAACAGAAAAAAUUUAUUUUUUUUUUAGAAUCUUUUUAUGAGUAGAAAAUCGUGGGGUUUGUGUUGAAGCGAAAUACGUGAGUUUUCGUGGAACAUCUCCCUAGUGCAGAUCUUGGUGGAAGUAGCAACUAUUCAAAUGAGAACUUUGAAGACUGAAGUGGAGAAGGGUUUCUUGUCAACUGUGAUUGAACAAGAGUUAGCCGCUCCUAAGGGAUAGCUGAAAAGUGUUUAAAAGGGGUUCCUUCCCCGUCUCAAAGGGAAACAGGUUGAUAUUCCUGUGCCAAUAGUAUUAUGAGUUUCUUAGAUGGUAACAUAUAUAUAAAUGAACUCCUUUACAUAGGCUUUACACUCGGGGUGCGUUUUCUUUGCACUUUACCUUUAUAACAAACCUUGGAAUCAAUUUACUUGGAGAAGAGGUUCGUUGAACUCAAUUCAAAAAAUUUCUUGAACGGGGUUUUCGGAUUCAGUUCAUUUUAUUUUUUGUUUUGUAGCAAUAGUAAUUCGUUUUUAUGAAUUAUCCGAAGUGGUAAGGACUAUCCUUGAAAAAAGGAGGGAACGGCUUUGUAAACUUGGUUUCUUCUGAUUCCAUUUUGCUUUGCUAUACUCUUAAUACUUGUAUGAGCGUACCAACAACCGCAUCAGGUCUCCAAGGUUAACAGCCUCUGGUUAAAUAGAAAAAAGUAGGUAAGGGAAGUCGGCAAAAUAGAUCCGUAACUUCGGGAAAAGGAUUGGCUCUGAGGACAUUAGAAAAGAGAAGAAAAAAAGAGGGUCGAAAAUAAAAUUGCAGUCUUUAUUUGCUUUUCUUUCGAUUUGCUUGUAAUCUGCUUUUUCUUUUUCUUCUUUCUUUUUUUCUCCCCCUCUUUUCGCCUUCACUUUAUUGUAAUUUUAUUACUUUAAUUUGAUACCUAUAAUGUUAACUCAGAACUGAAACGGACAAGGGGAAUCCGACUGUUUAAUUAAAACAUAGCAUUGUGAAAAGCCACAACUGGUAUUAACACAAUGUGAUUUCUGCCCAGUGCUUUGAAUGUCAACUUGAUGAAAUUCAAUCAAGCGCAGGUAAACGGCGGGAGUAACUAUGACUCUCUUAAGGUAGCCAAAUGCCUCGUCAUCUAAUUAGUGACGCGCAUGAAUGGAUUAACGAGAUUCCCACUGUCCCUACUUGCUAUCUAGCGAAACCACAGCCAAGGGAACGGGCUUGGCAAAAUCAGCGGGGAAAGAAGACCCUGUUGAGCUUUACUCUAGUCUGGCUUUGUGAAACGACUUAAGAGGUGUAGCAUAAGUGGGAGUAGAAACUGAAAUAUGUUUUUACGACAGUGAAAUACCACUACUUUUAAAGUUGUUUUACUUAUCCAUUUAUAGGGAAAUAUAUUAUGCUUUAUCCUUCGGGAAGGCAUUCUGAUAUUAUUUGAAUUUUUAAGAAACUUGUUUCUUAUUUUUCUCCCAUUUCUAUGGAGACAUAGCCAGGUGGGGAGUUUGACUGGGGCGGUACAUCUGUUAAAAAAUAACGCAGAUGUCCAAAGACAAGCUCAAUGAGAACAGAAAUCUCUUGUAGACUAAAAGGGGAAAAGCUUGUUUGAUUUCUAUUUUCAGAAAGAAUAGAAAACGUG